ACUCCUGCGGGAGGCAGCAGUGGGGAAUUUUGGACAAUGGGCGAAAGCCUGAUCCAGCAAUGCCGCGUGAGUGAAGAAGGCCUUCGGGUUGUAAAGCUCUUUUGUCAGGGAAGAAACGGUGAGAGCUAAUAUCUUUUGCUAAUGACGGUACCUGAAGAAUAAGCACCGGCUAACUACGUGCCAGCAGCCGCGGUAAUACGUAGGGUGCAAGCGUUAAUCGGAAUUACUGGGCGUAAAGCGUGCGCAGGCGGUUUUGUAAGUCUGAUGUGAAAUCCCCGGGCUCAACCUGGGAAUUGCAUUGGAGACUGCAAGGCUAGAAUCUGGCAGAGGGGGGUAGAAUUCCACGUGUAGCAGUGAAAUGCGUAGAUAUGUGGAGGAACACCGAUGGCGAAGGCAGCCCCCUGGGUCAAGAUUGACGCUCAUGCACGAAAGCGUGGGGAGCAAACAGGAUUAGAAACCCUAGUAGUCCCA
This 471-nucleotide ribosomal RNA is filed under the name uncultured organism. RNAcentral's name for it is "partial 16S ribosomal RNA". It matches the Rfam family "Bacterial small subunit ribosomal RNA", at positions 335 to 797 of the family's 1533-position model. The record is from RNAcentral.